This 1000-nucleotide ribosomal RNA is filed under the name Coniella vitis. RNAcentral describes it as "eukaryotic LSU rRNA". It matches the Rfam family "Eukaryotic large subunit ribosomal RNA", at positions 308 to 1331 of the family's 3401-position model. Lineage: Eukaryota; Fungi; Ascomycota; Sordariomycetes; Diaporthales; Schizoparmaceae. The record is from RNAcentral.
UUCUAAAGCUAAAUAUUGGCCAGAGACCGAUAGCGCACAAGUAGAGUGAUCGAAAGAUGAAAAGCACCUUGAAAAGGGGGUUAAACAGUACGUGAAAUUGUUGAAAGGGAAGCGCUCAUGACCAGACUUGUGCUGGGCAGCUCAUCCGGGGUUCUCCCCGGUGCAUUCUGCCCAGUUCAGGCCAGCAUCGAUUUUUGCUGGGGGAUAAGAACGGUAGGAACGUGGCCCUCCUUCGGGAGGGUGUUAUAGCCUACCGUACGAUACCCUAGCGGAGAUCGAGGUUCGCGCAUCUGCAAGGAUGCUGGCGUAAUGGUCAUCAGCGACCCGUCUUGAAACACGGACCAAGGAGUCGUCCAUUAGAGCGAGCGUUUGGGUGUAAAACCCGCACGCGUAAUGAAAGUGAAAUUAGGUGAGAGCUUCGGCGCAUCAUCGACCGAUCCUGAUGUUCUCGGAUGGAUUUGAGUAAGAGUUUUAACGGACGGACCCGAAAGACAGUGAACUAUGCUUGUAUAGGGUGAAGCCAGAGGAAACUCUGGUGGAGGCUCGCAGCGGUUCUGACGUGCAAAUCGAUCGUCAAAUAUGAGCAUGGGGGCGAAAGACUAAUCGAACUGUCUAGUAGCUGGUUACCGCCGAAGUUUCCCUCAGGAUAGCAGUGUUGACCUUCAGUUUUAUGAGGUAAAGCGAAUGAUUAGGGACUCGGGGGCGCUUUUUAGCCUUCAUCCAUUCUCAAACUUUAAAUAUGUAAGAAGCCCUUGUUACUUAGUUGAACGUGGGCAUUCGAAUGUAUCAACACUAGUGGGCCAUUUUUGGUAAGCAGAACUGGCGAUGCGGGAUGAACCGAACGCGGGGUUAAGGCGCCAGAGUGUACGCUCAUCAGACACCACAAAAGGCGUUAGUACAUCUUGACAGCAGGACGGUGGCCAUGGAAGUCGGAAUCCGCUAAGGACUGUGUAACAACUCACCUGCCGAAUGUACUAGCCCUGAAAAUGGAUGGCGCUCA